UGUUUUUCUGGGUUACCCCUUUGCCAAAAAGGGUUAUAAACUGUAUAAUCUGGUUUCCAAGAAAUAUUUUGUCUCCAAGGAUGUUCUAUUCCAUGAAACUUGUUUUCCUUUUAAAAAUAAACCUUCUUCUGUUCACCCUUCUCCUUCAUCCUUUCCUUCUAUUCCUCCUUCUGAGCAUUCCACUGACACAGAUUUUCCUAUACAUGCUUCCUCCCCUCCUUCCCUAACAUCUGCUCCAACAUCUGAUUCUCCUGUUCCUGAUUUUACUGAUGCUGCUCCAUCUUCUCUUCCUUCUUUCAAUCAUGAUAUCUCUCCUCCUGUUUUACCUCCUUCACAUCCUCUUCCUACUUCUAGAAAGUCCACUAGACAGCAUAAUCCACCUUCCUAUCUUAAGGAUUAUGUCUGUCAACUCCCUGCCUUUUCAUGAUAUCUCUCCCCCUGUUUUACCUUCUUCACACCCUCUUCCUACUUCUAGAAAGUCCACUAGACAGCAUAAUCCUCCUUCAUAUCUUAAGGAUUAUGUCUGCCAACUCCCUG
RNAcentral lists this long non-coding RNA (537 nucleotides) under Nicotiana benthamiana. RNAcentral describes it as "long non-coding RNA (NBEN_LNC021677)". The record is from RNAcentral. Lineage: Eukaryota; Viridiplantae; Streptophyta; Magnoliopsida; Solanales; Solanaceae.